AUAGGUGGUUCUCACUAUUGUCGAUUUUGUUCGAGCGAGUUUGACUUCCCACGGGGACUAUCAGCAACAUUCUUGCAGGAGUUUGGUAAUUUCAAGUCUCCAAUGUACUCAAGACUUCCUCAGUAUUGACACCACCGCUGCCAUUGGUGAUCGAUGACGGUAGUUGAGGUUGAAUCAAGCAGAGGGCAGAACACGAAAGGCGCGUACACGGUUAUUUGUUGAUCAUGGAAAUUAGGAGAAGAAGGUGAUGCAACUGGUCUGUCAA
Molecule: long non-coding RNA, 265 nt
Organism: Helianthus annuus (common sunflower)
Lineage: Eukaryota; Viridiplantae; Streptophyta; Magnoliopsida; Asterales; Asteraceae
Exons: 3
Source: RefSeq, a predicted model, not a curated record